RNAcentral lists this ribosomal RNA (266 nucleotides) under uncultured bacterium. Its description in RNAcentral is "partial 16S ribosomal RNA". It matches the Rfam family "Bacterial small subunit ribosomal RNA", at positions 793 to 1055 of the family's 1533-position model. The record is from RNAcentral.
GUCCACGCCGUAAACGAUGAAUACUAGGUGUAGGAGGUAUCGACCCCUUCUGUGCCGGAGCUAACACAAUAAGUAUUCCGCCUGGGAAGUACGAUCGCAAGAUUAAAACUCAAAGGAAUUGACGGGGGCCCGCACAAGCGGUGGAGUAUGUGGUUUAAUUCGACGCAACGCGAAGAACCUUACCAGGUCUUGACAUUGAUCGCCAUUCCAAGAAAUUGGAAGUUCUCCUUCGGGAGACGAGAAAACAGGUGGUGCACGGCUGUCGU